ACAAGCACUGUUUUGAUAUGGUUGUUGGGCUUUUUAAUUAGGUGCACCCUUCCACACUUACACACGGUUUACCUUCAUCAUGCAUCUCCAUUACAUGCCUACUGUCACACUUCACAGCUCUGCCAACCAGGCUCGGUGGGUGACAGGUAAGUGUUUCCACCAAGCUGUUCAAUGCCUGGAGUGGCACGCUGGAACUUCCAGAGGCUUGUAGACCUGAAGCAGUGUGAUGUGAUACAGCUCAACCACAGUCUUCACAGCUGGAGUCGUGUGCCCUGCAACUGCUAAACUGGCCAUGAAAGGUGAUACAGAUCUGCCACCAGGUUUUCAGCUGCAGUCACUAGUCCUCUGCUGUGGUAUUUAAUUUACCGGCUGCACCAGUUCUUACUACACUGGCCACGGUGAGGAAUACCCAGAUGGAUACAGAUCUGCCAUGCACUCCACCACUGCCCGACAGCCUCACCCAGAAGGGAAAUACACUGGGCCUAUCGAGACUGACAAAGCAGAGAUGGGUGGCUAACUAGAGAAAAUAAAACCUCCAAACAGCGUGGUGGCGAGUCAAUCUGCAAACCUAAUCUAGGCAAGCAGUGAGGAGCGCACAAAACAAUACAGGCUACAGACAUCACAAGCAGUG
Long non-coding RNA from Oncorhynchus tshawytscha (Chinook salmon), 631 nucleotides. Lineage: Eukaryota; Metazoa; Chordata; Actinopteri; Salmoniformes; Salmonidae. The record is from Ensembl.